CUGCCACAGUUGUGCAACAGUUGUGUGUGUGGGGGUGUUGCCAUGUCAUGUUCAGGUACUGACUGAAAACUGGAGGCCUCUAAGUAGUCAGACAUUGCAGUAAACUUAGCACAACAACUGACAGGAAGACACAACACGCAGAAAUAAGCAUUGUGGGGCUGCCUCCAGCGUCAUUUCAGAGAUUUUGGAAGUUCGUCCAACAGGCCUCAAAACCGCAGACCACGUGUAACCACGCCAGCCCAGGACCGCCACAUCUGACUUCUUCACCUGCGGGAUCGUCUGAGGCCAGCCACACGGACAGCUGAUGAAACCGUUGGUUUACACAACCGUAGAAUUUCUGCACAAACUGUCAGAAAUCGCCUCAGGGAAGCUCAUCUGUGUGCUCGACAUCCUCACCAGGGUCUUGAUUUGCCUGCGGAUUGAUGUAACAAUCGAAGUGAGUGGGCAGGAGCUUACUGGCACUCUGGAGAACAGUCUUCUUCACUAAUUAACUGUUUUAUUUUUAUUUUUACUGCUGCUCGUUGUUUCCUUGUAUUGACCCAUGUAUGUUGAUCUGUUGCCUCUGACAUAUAACUACCUUGUCUGUGAGUUUUGGAGUUGUGUGUAUGGACUGAGUAAGCUGCAAAUGAAUUGCCCUUCUUGGGAUCAAUAAAGUUGUCUGAUUCUGAAUCUGA
Molecule: long non-coding RNA, 674 nt
Organism: Anguilla anguilla (European eel)
Lineage: Eukaryota; Metazoa; Chordata; Actinopteri; Anguilliformes; Anguillidae
Exons: 2
Source: RefSeq, a predicted model, not a curated record